This is a small nucleolar RNA of Vicugna pacos (alpaca), 130 nucleotides long. The record is from Ensembl. NCBI's taxonomy places the organism in Eukaryota, Metazoa, Chordata, Mammalia, Artiodactyla, Camelidae.
CAGCACUGGCAAGUGACCCAUUGGGCUCCUCCUUGACCAAAUGGGCAUCGAGCAGUGCAAAAGCAAAUCCCCCCAACAAAGCUGGGAGAGUCAUGCUGUGGGCUACUCCUGCAUGCAGGGGGAUACAUAG